AACGAACGCUGGCGGCAUGCCUAACACAUGCAAGUCGAACGAGACCUUCGGGUCUAGUGGCGCACGGGUGCGUAACGCGUGGGAACCUGCCCUUAGGUUCGGAAUAACUCCCCGAAAGGGGUGCUAAUACCGGAUAAUGUCUUCGGACCAAAGAUUUAUCGCCUUUGGAUGGGCCCGCGUUGGAUUAGCUAGUUGGUAGGGUAAAAGCCUACCAAGGCGACGAUCCAUAGCUGGUCUGAGAGGAUGAUCAGCCACACUGGGACUGAGACACGGCCCAGACCCCUCGGGGAGGCAGGAGGGGGGAAAAUUGGACAAUGGGCGAAAACCUGACCCAGAAAUGCCGGGGGAGUGAUGAAGGCCUUAGGGUUGUAAAGCUCUUUUACCCGGGAUGAUAAUGACAGUACCGGGAGAAUAAGCCCCGGCUAACUCCGU
Molecule: ribosomal RNA, 432 nt
Filed under: uncultured bacterium
Lineage: Bacteria
Description: partial 16S ribosomal RNA
Rfam family: Bacterial small subunit ribosomal RNA
Source: RNAcentral